This 443-nucleotide ribosomal RNA is filed under the name uncultured bacterium. Its description in RNAcentral is "partial 16S ribosomal RNA". It matches the Rfam family "Bacterial small subunit ribosomal RNA", at positions 338 to 795 of the family's 1533-position model. The record is from RNAcentral.
CCUACGGGGGGCAGCAGUGGGGAAUAUUGGGCAAUGGGCGCAAGCCUGACCCAGCAACGCCGCGUGAAGGAAGAAGGCUUUCGGGUUGUAAACUUCUUUUGUCAGGGACGAAGCAAGUGACGGUACCUGACGAAUAAGCCACGGCUAACUACGUGCAAGCCGCCGCGGUAACACGUAGGUGGAAAGCGUUAUCCGGAUUUACUGGGUGCAAAGGGCGUGUAGGCGGGACUGCAAGUCAGAUGUGAAAACCACGGGCUCAACCUGUGGCCUGCAUUUGAAACUGUAGUUCUGGAGUACUGGAGAGGCAGACGGAAUGCCUGGUGUAGCGGUGAAAUGCGUAGAUAUUAGGAGGAACACCAGUGGCGAAGGCGGUCUGCUGGACAGCAACUGACGCUGAGGCGCGAAAGCGUGGGGAGCAAACAGGAUUAGAUACCCGGGUAGUC